This 449-nucleotide ribosomal RNA is filed under the name uncultured bacterium. RNAcentral describes it as "partial 16S ribosomal RNA". It matches the Rfam family "Bacterial small subunit ribosomal RNA", at positions 354 to 796 of the family's 1533-position model. The record is from RNAcentral.
GUGGGGAAUCUUCCGCAAUGGACGAAAGUCUGACGGAGCGACGCCGCGUGAGUGAUGAAGGCCUUCGGGUCGUAAAGCUCUGUCAUCGGGGACGAACGGCCUCAGCAGGUAAUGGCUGGGGAUUGACGGUACCCGAGAAGGAAGCCACGGCUAACUACGUGCCAGCAGCCGCGGUAAUACGUAGGUGGCAAGCGUUGUCCGGAAUUAUUGGGCGUAAAGCGCGCGCAGGUGGGAUCUUAAGUCCAUUUUGAAAGUUCGGAGCUCAACUCCGUGAUGGGAUGGAAACUGGGAUUCUUGAGUACCGGAGAGGAAAGCGGAAUUCCCCGUGUAGCGGUGAAAUGCGUAGAUAUGGGGAGGAACACCAGUGGCGAAGGCGGCUUUCUGGACGGUGUCUGACACUGAGGCGCGAAAGCCAGGGGAGCGAACGGGAUUAGAUACCCUGGUAGUCC